AGAGGAGGGCCAGACAUGAAACAUCGGAGGGCAGGAUCAUUUUUGCAUUUAAGCACUUUUGAAAUCCAACAACCCAGACGGCCCUUCAAAACAGAUUCCUCGUACCUACUUACGAAGCAGCACAACAGCACAGUCGAUGGGUGGCAGGAUCUCCGGCAGUGGGUGGCGAUCGAGGGAUGGCAGUGAGCUUCCGGCAGCCUCUUGCUGCCGUUUUCUGGCGUCGUUUGGCAGCUGAUCGAUAGGAGGGAGUGAAGGCAGCUGCUGGGGGUGAUCAAAGAGGUGUUUCGAGGCUAUUGGUUCGACGGAACUGGAAGCAAAGCAGAGGUUGGCUGCAGGGCCGGCCCAUGGGCCUGGGCAAGCUGGGCGACCGCCCCCGGCCCCCAAAUGCCAUAGAGCCCCCAUUUUAUAUCUCUUAUAUUAAUUGUAUAACAUUAGCCCAUUAGGUUUAAGCUUAUUGGACUCAAUACAACAAUACUCCGUCCGUCUCUCUUAUCAGCGUGUGUCACUGCGUCGUCAACCAAAAAGAAAGCGGGAGGAAGAGGAAUCAGGAACGACUGGGCGUCCGAGAGUGCCGACUUCCAAGGCGCAAUUAAAUCUUCAACGAUCGGCUAUGGAAAAUCGAAACGUUUUCUCCGGAUUCUAAAAACUAAACCAUUGAGAAUCUGACCACUGAGUCGUCACAGUCUCACGGACGAAGACAAUAUCAUUCGAAGAAGCAUUAAUCCCACAUAGUCGUUUAUCGUUGUCUCGUUGUCUCACAGACGAAGACAAUAUCAUUCGAAGAAGCAUUAAUUCAACAGAAUCGUUUAUGGUUGUCUCGUUGUCUUCUGAAUCUUCUUCUUUAUUUUUAUCUAAUCAAUCCAAUAAAAUGACCUUCUGAUUGUGUGAUUGUAAAUCCUUGUAACUCACUAACUCUGAUUCUAUAACUAAUUUUCUGUUGUAGCUGUGGAGGUCAUUUACAGCAUCAACAAUUUACCAAUUACCAUCUAGGCAUCACUGGCAGUAGAGGAGGGCCAGACAUGAAACAUCGGAGGGCAGGAUCAUUUUUGCAUUUAAGCACUUUUGAAAUCCAACAACCCAGACGGCCCUUCAAAACAGAUUCCUCGUACCUACUUACGAAGCAGCACAACAGCACAGUCGAUGGGUGGCAGGAUCUCCGGCAGUGGGUGGCGAUCGAGGGAUGGCAGUGAGCUUCCGGCAGCCUCUUGCUGCCGUUUUCUGGCGUCGUUUGGCAGCUGAUCGAUAGGAGGGAGUGAAGGCAGCUGCUGGGGGUGAUCAAAGAGGUGUUUCGAGGCUAUUGGUUCGACGGAACUGGAAGCAAAGCGGAGGUUGGCUGCAGGGCCGGCCCAUGGGCCUGGGCAAGCUGGGCGACCGCCCCCGGCCCCCAAAUGCCAUAGAGCCCCCAUUUUAUAUCUCUUAUAUUAAUUGUAUAACAUUAGCCCAUUAGGUUUAAGCUUAUUGGACUCAAUACAACAAUACUCCGUCCGUCUCUCUUAUCAGCGUGUGUCACUGCGUCGUCAACCAAAAAGAAAGCGGGAGGAAGAGGAAUCAGGAACGACUGGGCGUCCGAGAGUGCCGACUUCCAAGGCGCAAUUAAAUCUUCAACGAUCGGCUAUGGAAAAUCGAAACGUUUUCUCCGGAUUCUAAAAACUAAACCAUUGAGAAUCUGACCACUGAGUCGUCACAGUCUCACGGACGAAGACAAUAUCAUUCGAAGAAGCAUUAAUCCCACAUAGUCGUUUAUCGUUGUCUCGUUGUCUCACAGACGAAGACAAUAUCAUUCGAAGAAGCAUUAAUUCAACAGAAUCGUUUAUGGUUGUCUCGUUGUCUUCUGAAUCUUCUUCUUUAUUUUUAUCUAAUCAAUCCAAUAAAAUGACCUUCUGAUUGUGUGAUUGUAAAUCCUUGUAACUCACUAACUCUGAUUCUAUAACUAAUUUUCUGUUGUAGCUGUGGAGGUCAUUUACAGCAUCAACAAUUUACCAAUUACCAUCUAGGCAUCACUGGCAGUAGAGGAGGGCCAGACAUGAAACAUCGGAGGGCAGGAUCAUUUUUGCAUUUAAGCACUUUUGAAAUCCAACAACCCAGACGGCCCUUCAAAACAGAUUCCUCGUACCUACUUACGAAGCAGCACAACAGCACAGUCGAUGGGUGGCAGGAUCUCCGGCAGUGGGUGGCGAUCGAGGGAUGGCAGUGAGCUUCCGGCAGCCUCUUGCUGCCGUUUUCUGGCGUCGUUUGGCAGCUGAUCGAUAGGAGGGAGUGAAGGCAGUUGCUGGGGGUGAUCAAAGAGGUGUUUCGAGGCUAUUGGUUCGACGGAACUUGAAGCAAAGCGGAGGUUGGCUGCAGGGCCGGCCCAUGGGCCUGGGCAAGCUGGGCGACCGCCCCCGGCCCCCAAAUGCCAUAGAGCCCCCAUUUUAUAUCUCUUAUAUUAAUUGUAUAACAUUAGCCCAUUAGGUUUAAGCUUAUUGGACUCAAUACAACAAUACUCCGUCCGUCUCUCUUAUCAGCGUGUGUCACUGCGUCGUCAACCAAAAAGAAAGCGGGAGGAAGAGGAAUCAGGAACGACUGGGCGUCCGAGAGUGCCGACUUCCAAGGCGCAAUUAAAUCUUCAACGAUCGGCUAUGGAAAAUCGAAACGUUUUCUCCGGAUUCUAAAAACUAAACCAUUGAGAAUCUGACCACUGAGUCGUCACAGUCUCACGGACGAAGACAAUAUCAUUCGAAGAAGCAUUAAUCCCACAUAGUCGUUUAUCGUUGUCUCGUUGUCUCACAGACGAAGACAAUAUCAUUCGAAGAAGCAUUAAUUCAACAGAAUCGUUUAUGGUUGUCUCGUUGUCUUCUGAAUCUUCUUCUUUAUUUUUAUCUAAUCAAUCCAAUAAAAUGACCUUCUGAUUGUGUGAUUGUAAAUCCUUGUAACUCACUAACUCUGAUUCUAUAACUAAUUUUCUGUUGUAGCUGUGGAGGUCAUUUACAGCAUCAACAAUUUACCAAUUACCAUCUAGGCAUCACUGGCAGUAGGUACAAAGAACAAGAACCCUUCUUUUAUUAUUUGUUAUCUGCUUGCUUG
Molecule: non-coding RNA, 3063 nt
Organism: Lactuca sativa (garden lettuce)
Lineage: Eukaryota; Viridiplantae; Streptophyta; Magnoliopsida; Asterales; Asteraceae
Source: RefSeq, a predicted model, not a curated record